Long non-coding RNA from Bubalus bubalis (water buffalo), 716 nucleotides. RefSeq lists it as uncharacterized. Lineage: Eukaryota; Metazoa; Chordata; Mammalia; Artiodactyla; Bovidae. The record is from RefSeq and is a predicted model, not a curated record. The transcript is spliced from 3 exons.
GGGCCUCCUCUCUGCCCUCUUUUGUGGAGCCGGGGAACCCAGGGCCAGUUCCCUGCCUGCCAGCUGGUUUCCCGGACCCUGGACCAGCUGUGAGCGAGGGGGCGGGAGCAGCCGCUGGCCUCUGGGAAGUGGAAACCAGGAGUCAGGCAGCUGAGGCGGGCGGGUUUAGGCUGGGGCGAUGAGGCCAGCAGGCCCGGGCAGCAUUCUGGAGGAAUUUCUGAAUUACCUCCUGGCUGGAGACUGGAGGCCAGAGCGGGGGCCCUGGGCUGGUCCUGCUGGCUGCAGCCUUCCCGCCUCGGGCCUGUGUCUCUGCCCGCCUGCCUAGGCAUCGCAGCAUCCUCUGAUGGACCGAGCUGAGACCGCGGUCCUGAGUCAGAGGACUUGUGGGAUUGGAGCGCCCUCUGCUGGCAAGAUCGAGGACUAUUUACAAUAACGAAGACGUGGAAGCAACCUAAAUGUCCAUCGACAGAGGAGUGGAUAAAGAAGAUAUGGUAUAUAUACACUGAAGUAUUACUCAGCCAUAAAAGUGGACAAAACAGUGGCAUUGGCAGCAACAUGGAUGGACCUAGAGAUUGUCGUACUGAGCGAAGCAAGUCAGACAAGACAAAUACCAUGUGAUGUUGCUUAUAUGUGGAAUCUUACAAAAAUUGAACAAAUGAACUCAUUUAAAAUCAGAAGUAGAGUCACAGAUGUAGAAAACAAACUUAUGGUUACCA